CCCUUAGAUGUUCUGGGCUGCACGCGCGCUACACUGAUACUUUCAGCGAGUCCACCACCUUGCCUGGGAGGGUGGGGUAACCUCUGGAAAGUGCAUCGUGAUGGGGAUCGAUUAUUGUAAUUAUUAAUCUUCAACGAGGAAUUCCUAGUAAGCAUGUGUCAUCAGCCCGUGCUGAUUACGUCCCUGCCCUUUGUACACACCGCCCGUCGCUCCUACCGAUUGAAUGGUCCGGUGAAAUCUCGGGACGGCGGCUUGGUCGCUUGCGUCCGACUGCUGAAACUUGAUUAAACCAUAUCAUUUAGAGGAAGGUGAAGUCGUAACA
Molecule: ribosomal RNA, 322 nt
Filed under: uncultured eukaryote
Lineage: Eukaryota
Description: partial 18S ribosomal RNA
Rfam family: Eukaryotic small subunit ribosomal RNA
Source: RNAcentral